AAAGAUUAUUAUAUAGAUAUUGCUAUUGUCAUUAAAAUUAUGUAUCCAUUUGCAAUACAAAUACAACAAUGACCACACAAUCUCCUUCACUUCCAGUUCCCCGGCAUAAAAAGACUGCCAACCUUAGGAAACAAAAAUACUUUACAGCUACAUAGUGAAAGGAUCAUUUGAAUACCUUAUCACAUUAGCAGUCUGCAUAUGCAAAGGAAAAAGAGCAAAGUACAUGAUAUAAACCACUGAUCGAUGGACAUAUAUGCCCGGAAUUGAAAUCAAUGGUCAUACAGUUGGAACACUUUCAGAUCUGUACAGUCGGGUUUCAACUGUGGUCAUUCGCUAUUGUUUCUUUCAUCAGGAAAUUUAAUGCAAGUAAAGCAGCUCCUACCGCAGGCUCCACCUUUGGUCGAAUUAUACAAGCUGCUGGAUAAGUCUUUAAAAUAGAAUUAGUAACUUCAUUCCCAAUAUUCCACUUCUUGUUAGCUCCAAGUACGCCUCCAACCAUAACAACAGGGAAGGAGCCUUUCCCAUCUUCCCCGGCCAAAUGUAGUCUCUGGACAACAGCUUUGACACUUAUAGCCAAUUCUUGAACUGCAUUAUGUAAAAUCUCGUCGGCAACUUGAUCACCAUCCUCCGCACAGGAUACAACUACUGGGACAAGUGCUGCAAUGCGAGCCCAAGAUGGAUCUGCAUAGGUCCACCCUAUGAGUUCGUCUGGAGAAGAAAGACCUAGUGACUGUAGAAUACAACUUGAGAGCUUUGUCUGUGGACCUCGACCAUCAUGAGCCCUCAUCACUGCAAUCAAUGCCUGAGCUGCAAUCCCAUAGCCACUCCCCCAAUCACCCAAAACAGGCCCUGCACCAGCGGCCCGAGCUUCUCUUCCAUCUUCAGUAAAUCCAUAAGAAAUGCUUCCAGUACCAGCUAUUAAAACACAGCCAUGCAGUUUUCCCAUCGUGCCACUUGCUAUGCCUGAGCUGCAAUCCCAUAGCCACUCCCCCAAUCACCCAAAACAGGCCCUGCACCAGCGGCCCGAGCUUCUCUUCCAUCUUCAGUAAAUCCAUAAGAAAUGCUUCCAGUACCAGCUAUUAAAACACAGCCAUGCAGUUUUCCCAUCGUGCCACUUGCUAGAGCAGCCACGGCAUCAUUCUGAAUAUACAACUUAACAUGACUUGGAAAUGUGCUCCUCAGCCAGCCUAAUAUCUUUUCCUGAUCCUUUGAAUGGUUCACACCAGAUAAACCCAAACAAAUUGCUUGAACAGCUGAUCGUUUGACACCAGCAUCAGACAGCGCUUCUGCUAUAAUUUUUUCCAGUGUUUCUCUAGCUACAUCUUCUCCAACACUAUUAAAAUUAGAAGAUCCGGCAACGGCACGGCCGAGAAGUGGGAGUGGAUCAGGGAGAUUAUGGAUAUCGGAAAAGGGAAGAAGUGGCAUGCAAACACAGACUGUAGAGGUAGUGCCGCCAUCUACACCUAUCAUCACCUUGCAAUCAUCAGAUUCUGAACCCAUUUUUACCACUUGAUUAUGAUAUUUU
This 1525-nucleotide unclassified non-coding RNA is filed under the name Hevea brasiliensis (rubber tree). Lineage: Eukaryota; Viridiplantae; Streptophyta; Magnoliopsida; Malpighiales; Euphorbiaceae. The record is from RNAcentral.